RNAcentral lists this unclassified non-coding RNA (320 nucleotides) under Hevea brasiliensis (rubber tree). Lineage: Eukaryota; Viridiplantae; Streptophyta; Magnoliopsida; Malpighiales; Euphorbiaceae. The record is from RNAcentral.
GUGGUGGAACGGGUAUUGGGAUGGAUCGUGAAACUAUUUCCUGGAGGGCCACCAAGACGACGAACUAGCAAGCUUCUUUAAUCUCCAUGGCAAGCGAACAAUGAUGAGUUAUCCCUGCGAAAAGCUGGUCUUUUUCUUCUCUCCAGCCCUGCAUUUUUGUAGCCAAACGGAGUCUGGAUUUUGUACAUUAUCCAUGGUUUAUACACACACAUUGCAUUCUUUUCCCCCAGAAGAAGCAAAUUGUAUCUAAGAGGCAUUUUGGAAGAUGGAAUAGCUGUUCUCGACAGUUUUGGCAAUAAAACAUGACCGUGUUGUUUACA